Molecule: unclassified non-coding RNA, 2214 nt
Filed under: Drosophila pseudoobscura pseudoobscura
Lineage: Eukaryota; Metazoa; Arthropoda; Insecta; Diptera; Drosophilidae
Description: GA23949
Source: RNAcentral
GAGAGAGAGAGAGAGAGGAACGAAAGCAAAAGCUCAGGACAGCAAUCGAAAGGAACGGAACUGUAACACUGGAGACUGCAGAUAUUUUUUUACUAUUGUGUUGGGGUUUUUGGGGUUCGGGUUCGCGUGGCGGGGGCAAGAGCGCGACAUGGACGGCAAACGGCAACGGCAACGACGAUGACAUUAUUUUAUUUAUGCUGUGAUAGUGAAAUAACAACACCAACAACAAGAACAACACCAAAGUCACGAAUCAAACGCAAUAUUUUCGCAGAGCAGAGAGAAGGAAAACCAAUUAAAUGAAUUAAAUUAAACUAGUAAAACCAAACCAAACCAACAAAAAGCUUUAACCAAAAAAAAAAACACCAAGCAAAACGUUGCAAAUAAUUAUUAAUGAUAAAACAUAAAUGAAUAGUGAAAACCAAGCACCAAUUAGAGCAUAACCUACAAAUGAUAGUCAAUAUGUUUAGCUAGUUACAAUUUAUAUACAAACAUAGUACAUAGAUACUACUAAUUAGUGGCUUUAAACGAAACACCAAACCAAGCAACCAACCGCAAGGAAAAACCAAUACUUAUGUAGUUCAAUUGUAUAGAACGAAUAACUAACUAUAACUAACGAAUAACGAUUAGGGAAUCUAGACACACUACUGAUAAGGAUAGCGAAAAUAUAAAGCUUAUUUGCGAAUAGAAAUAGAGAAUAAUAAUAGCAACGCCCCCCCUCCACGGCGCUGAAAGCCCGACAACCAGAAAUUCAUUCAGAAAACGUGCCACACAAACAGCCGGACGGGACGGUUAGAAAGGCAAAUGUCAAAGUCAUAAAGAGAGAAAGAACGCGAAAGAAAGAGAGAGAACGGAAAGAGAGAGAGAGAGAGAGCGUGAAAGCACAACGGAAUUUAAAAAAGCUCAAAGACAUCAAUCAAAUGUUACAACCAUAAGGACAUCGAGGAAAGCUCAGGAUUAAAGCUUGUCCCAAGACACAAGCCCCACUCCAAAAUGGCCGCAACAGCAGCAACGGGGAUAACGGGAACGGGAACGGCUACAGCAACACACCACGACGAUGCCAGCAGCAUGAGCGACGACGUCUUCGAAGAUGUGGAGACCACACAGGCCCGCAUCGAGGAGUUGCGACGCCGGCCCUUUGGCGAUGGCUGUUACAACCCCCCCGCCGCACCCGUCUCAAUAUCAGCCACAGUGGCAGCUUCCACAUCCGCAACAACGACGCAGCAGCAGCAGCAUCAUCAUCAUCACCAUCAUCAGUAUCCGCAUCAUCAUCAAAGCCAACAGAGCCUCACGGGCAGCAGCCAUCAUUAUCAUGACGACGCCAUUAUGGCGCCCGUGCAGCGGACGGCCACCGGAUAUCCGGGCUAUCGACCCUCACGAGAAGCUCUUCAGAUGUACGCCUACGGCACAGGAGAUGAUUACGACGAUUACGACGAUGGCUGGCGUUCAUAUCGUUACGACGAGGUGGACAUGCACCAAGCACAGCCGACGGCCAAUUUGCAACCUUUCGACGACACGGUCAAUCACAAGACGAUACUGCUGGGGGACUCUGGCGUGGGCAAGACAUCCUUCCUGGUCAAAUACAAUACGGGCGAAUUUCGGCUGGGCUCCUUCUCGGCGACGGUGGGCAUUGCUCUGACGGGCGCUCCACCCACACCCCCGCCCCACCGCCGCUCGCAUCACGUUUCUAGGCCAGGGCUACUGCUGCUGCUGCCAAACCAAACCCGAAGCCAGCCGAAGCAAGCGAAGGUCUCGGUCAAGGUGUGUAUUGAAAUCAGGUGAAACAUUCCCAUGGCCAUGCUCUCAUUCGCUCUGCGUGUGCCCUGCGUUGGAAACAACACAUGAUGCCUUCCAGAGAGCGCUCUCUGGGCAUGCCUCACCUUCGUUUAAUACACUUUGGUAGCGGGCUCGAGCUCAGGCUCCCCAGCUUUUUGCUCCUUUUUUUGGCGUCGUCGGGCUCCAUUCAGUCUAGCAUUGAGCUCUGCUGCGAACGGACGCUUCGAUAGGCAUCAACGGGCGCGCGAUCCCAAGCUCUCUCUCCAUUCAGUUUUUUCUGUAGAAACUGUAGCUCCAGCUGCUACGCUUCAGCCAAAAAUACAUUUUGCUGACUGAGAAACCAACUUUAAAAACAAAGUGGUCGUCGUCGAUGGCACACGUGUAAAGCUACAAAUCUGGGACACGGCUGGACAGGAGCGUUUCCGCAGCGUUACACACGCC